AUUCCACCUACACUUGAUUAGAAAACUAUCUUUGGAAUCUAUAUUUAGAGAUCUUUUCUGGCUCACAUCUUGAAUGUCUCAUUUUUAAAGCCAAACUUUUCAUCCUUGAUUUUGAUGCGAUCCAAUCAUAAUUUUAAAACUAU
Molecule: non-coding RNA, 143 nt
Organism: Phoenix dactylifera (date palm)
Lineage: Eukaryota; Viridiplantae; Streptophyta; Magnoliopsida; Arecales; Arecaceae
Source: RefSeq, a predicted model, not a curated record